This 208-nucleotide long non-coding RNA is filed under the name Nicotiana benthamiana. RNAcentral describes it as "long non-coding RNA (NBEN_LNC018110)". Lineage: Eukaryota; Viridiplantae; Streptophyta; Magnoliopsida; Solanales; Solanaceae. The record is from RNAcentral.
GAUUAAGACUUAAUAUUAAUUGAUGCAGUCUCCUUCUGUUGCGCUCCUCCAGCUAAGAACACCUCAGAAAACCAUGUACUUACAGACAAAAUCUCAUGACAAUUAAGAUUAAAUAAGUGGAAAUUAACUACUAGAGCCCUUGUAUGCCAAAUAUGUAGCAUCUUACCAAAUUCCAAGAAAAUUCUCACGUUACUAUCAUAUGUUUAUA